CCUACGGGAGGCAGCAGUGAGGAAUAUUGGUCAAUGGACGCAAGUCUGAACCAGCCAUGCCGCGUGCAGGAAUACGGCUCUAUGGGUUGUAAACUGCUUUUGUCCGGGAGUAAACGCGGAUACGCGUCUCUGUCUGAAAAUAUCCUACGAAUAAGGAUCGGCUAACUACGUUCCAGCCACCGCGGGAAUACGGAGGAUUACAGCGGUUUCCGGGGUUAUUUGGUUUAAAGGGUGCGUAGGGGGGCGGAUAAGUUCGUGGUGAAAUCCCGAGGCUCAAAUGCGGAAUUGCCGUUGAUACUGUGCGGCUAGAGAGUAGUUGAGGAAGGCGGAAUGCAUGGUGUAGCGGUGAAAUGCUUAGAGAUCAUACAGAACACCGAUUGCGAAGGCAGCUUACCAGGGUACUUCUGACGCUGAGGCACGAAAGUGCGGGGAUCAAACAGGAUUAGAUACCCGGGUAGUC
RNAcentral lists this ribosomal RNA (460 nucleotides) under uncultured bacterium. RNAcentral describes it as "partial 16S ribosomal RNA". It matches the Rfam family "Bacterial small subunit ribosomal RNA", at positions 338 to 795 of the family's 1533-position model. The record is from RNAcentral.